Molecule: ribosomal RNA, 36 nt
Filed under: Claviceps purpurea (ergot fungus)
Lineage: Eukaryota; Fungi; Ascomycota; Sordariomycetes; Hypocreales; Clavicipitaceae
Also listed under: 3 other names
Description: partial 28S ribosomal RNA
Source: RNAcentral
GACCUCGAAUCAGGUAGGAAUACCCGCUGAACUUAA